RNAcentral lists this long non-coding RNA (292 nucleotides) under Mytilus galloprovincialis (Mediterranean mussel). Lineage: Eukaryota; Metazoa; Mollusca; Bivalvia; Mytilida; Mytilidae. The record is from RNAcentral.
CGUUUUGUGAGACAAAGCAAUACUUCUUGAUGUGCAACAUGGUUGUUACCGGUAACAACAUCUAGGAAAGAAUCAACCCAAACUGGUGCUAGGGGUUGUUUUAAACUUGCAGUGAGGUGAGUUUUUACAAAGAUAUAAUGCUAGAGUGCAAGGUGAAUUUCAGAUGAAGAACAGCGCUAUAUAAUAUUAAAACCAGAUGUAGAAUGAAUGUCAAUGAGAUAAAUAUUCAUAGACAAACAAGGUUGGAAACAAUAAAAGCACUGUUCCUCAGCUUUUUGUAAUUUUUUUGUCU